This 252-nucleotide non-coding RNA is filed under the name Desulfovibrio sp. RNAcentral also lists the same sequence under 1 other name. Lineage: Bacteria; Pseudomonadati; Thermodesulfobacteriota; Desulfovibrionia; Desulfovibrionales; Desulfovibrionaceae. The record is from RNAcentral.
UUGACUUUUGCGCCCCCCUGUUGUCCUCUGCCCGCUGUAGCGGGGAAUUCCGUGCAAAUCGGAAACAGUCGCGCUGCGGUAAGAGGGUACAGAGCUUCUUCGCCUUGCCGGAAACAUCCCGGCGGGGCGCGACAGCCAGCCGUCACAGGUGAAGGCGAAGCCGAGGCGCGGGGCCGUUGUCCUGAUUAUGAUCAGAAACGCGGGCCUCCACAUCCCUCAAGUCCGAACACCCGCUGGCCGGGGCGUUUUGCG